AACGAACGCUGGCGGCAGGCCUAACACAUGCAAGUCGAGCGCGCCCUUCGGGGUGAGCGGCGGACGGGUGAGUAACGCGUGGGAACGUGCCCUUUUCUACGGAAUAGCCUCGGGAAACUGAGAUUAAUACCGUAUACGCCCUUUGGGGGAAAGAUUUAUCGGAAAAGGAUCGGCCCGCGUUGGAUUAGGUAGUUGGUGGGGUAAUGGCCUACCAAGCCGACGAUCCAUAGCUGGUUUGAGAGGAUGAUCAGCCACACUGGGACUGAGACACGGCCCAGACUCCUACGGGAGGCAGCAGUGGGGAAUCUUAGACAAUGGGGGCAACCCUGAUCUAGCCAUGCCGCGUGAGUGAUGAAGGCCUUAGGGUUGUAAAGCUCUUUCAGCUGGGAAGAUAAUGACGGUACCAGCAGAAGAAGCCCCGGCUAACUCCGUG
RNAcentral lists this ribosomal RNA (433 nucleotides) under uncultured bacterium. RNAcentral describes it as "partial 16S ribosomal RNA". It matches the Rfam family "Bacterial small subunit ribosomal RNA", at positions 29 to 507 of the family's 1533-position model. The record is from RNAcentral.